CAACUCGACUACAUGAAGCUGGAAUCGCUAGUAAUCGCAGAUCAGAAUGCUGCGGUGAAUACGUUCCCGGGUCUUGUACACACCGCCCGUCACACCAUGGGAGUCGGAAAUGCCCGAAGCCGGUGACCCCAACCAAAAAGGAGGGAGCCGUCGAAGGCAGGUCUGAUAACUGGGGUGAAGUCGUAACAAGGUAAC
This 195-nucleotide ribosomal RNA is filed under the name uncultured bacterium. RNAcentral's name for it is "partial 16S ribosomal RNA". It matches the Rfam family "Bacterial small subunit ribosomal RNA", at positions 1308 to 1500 of the family's 1533-position model. The record is from RNAcentral.